RNAcentral lists this long non-coding RNA (234 nucleotides) under Capsicum annuum. Its description in RNAcentral is "long non-coding RNA (CANN_LNC012421)". The record is from RNAcentral. Lineage: Eukaryota; Viridiplantae; Streptophyta; Magnoliopsida; Solanales; Solanaceae.
UGCCUCUAAGUUUCACCCAAAAUGUGCUAAGGCCAACAUUACAUAACUUGGGUGUACAGAUGACCUGCUGCUCUUUUCUAAAGGUGACUCUCUCUUUCCAACAGCUAUUCUCAUGCUUUCAAGAUUUCUCUCAUGCCUCUAGACUAAUUAUCAAUAUUGCUAGAGUGCUAUCUACUUUGGAGUAAAACCAGCUUAACAGGAUCAAAUUCUACAUGUUCUUGGUUUCCAAAGAGG